GUGCCCAAGUGUUCUCAUUGUUCAAUUCCCACCUAUGAGUGAGAACAUGCAGUGUUUGGUUUUCUGUCCUUGCAAUAGUUUGCUGAGAAUGAUGGUUUCCAGCUUCAUCCAUGUCCCUACAAAGGACAUGAACUCAUCUUUUUAUGGCUGCAUAGUAUUCCAUGGUGUAUAUGUGCCACAUUUUCUUAAUCCAUUCUAUCAUUGAUGGACAUUUGGAUUGGUUCCAAGUCUUUGCUAUUGUGAAUAGUGCUGCAAUAAACAUAUGCGUGCAUGUGUCUUUAUAGCCACAUGAUUUAUAGUCCUUUGGGUACAUGCCCAGUAAUGGGAUGGCUGGGUCAAAUGGUAUUUCUAGUUCUAGAUCCUUGAGGAAUCGUCACACUGUCUUCCACAAUUGUUGAAUUAGUUUACAGUCCCACCAACAGUGUAAAAGUGUUCCUAUUUCUCCACAUCCUCUCCAGCACCUGUUGUUUCCUGACUUUUUAAUGAUCGCCAUUCUAACUGGUGUGAGAUGGUAUCUCAUUGUGGUUUUGAUUUGUAUUUCUCUGAUGACCAGUGAUGAUGAGCAUUUUUUCAUGUGUCUGUUGGCUGCAUAAAUGUCUUCCUUUGAGAACUGUCUGUUGAUAUCCUUUGCCCACUUUUUGAUGGGGUUGUUUGAUUUUUUCUUGUAAAUUUGUUUAAGUUCUUUGUAGAUUCUGGAUAUUAGCCCUUUGUCAGAUGGGCUAAUAUCUGACAUUAUUAUUGUAAACAUUUUCUCUCAUUCUGUAGGAUGCCUGUUCACUCUGAUGGUAGUUUCUUUUGCUGUGCAGAAGCUCUUUAGUUUAAUUAGAUCCCAUUGGUUAAUUUUGGCUUUUGUUGCCAUUGUUUUUGGUGUUUUAGUCAUGAAGUCCUUGCCCAUGCCUAUGGCCUGCAUGUAUUGCCUAGGUUUUCUUCGAGGGUUUUUAUGGUUUUAGGUCUAAUAUUUAAGUCUUUAAUCCAUCUUGAAUUAAUUUUUGUACAAGGUGUAAGGAAAGGGUCCAGUUUCAGCUUUCUACGUAUGGCUAGCCAGUUUUCCCAGCACCAUUUAUUAAAUAGGGAAUCCUUUCCCCAUUUCUUGUUUUUGUCAGGUUUGUCAAAGAUCAGACAGUCGUAGAUGUGUGGUAUUAUUUCUGAGGACUCUAUUCUGUUCCAUUGGUCUAUAUCUCUGUUUUGGUGCCAGUACCAUGCUGUUUUGGUUACUGUAUCCUUGUAGUAUAGUUUUAAAUCACGUAGUGUGAUGCCUCCAGCUUUGUUCUUUCAGCUUAGGAUUGACUUGGCGAUGUGGGCUCUUUUUUUGGUUCCAUAUGAACUUUAAAGUAGUUUUUUCCAAUUCUGUGAAGAAAGUCACUGGUAGCUUGAUGGGGAUGACAUUGAAUCUAUAAAUUACCAUGGGCAGUAUGGCUGUGUUGCACAGGCUAGCCUCAAACUCCUGAACUCAAGUGACCCUCCUGUCUCAGCCUCGCAAAUAGCUGGGACUAUAGAAAUAUGCCACUGUGCCUGUCUCCUAUUCUCUUUUCUUGUAUUAGAAUUUUGUGGCUGCAUGUUACAAAUGUAAGCAAAGGAGAAAAAUCCAUCAGGCAUAGUGGCUCACAUCUGUAAUCCCAGUACUUUGGGAGACUGAGGUGGGAGGAUUGCUUGAGGCCAGGAGUUUGAGAUCAGUCUGGGCAACAUAGCAAGACCCUACCUCUAUAAAAAUAAAAUUUUCAAAAUUAGCCACGUGUGGUGGUGCAUGCCUAUAGUCCCAGCUACUCAGGAAGGUGAAGCAGGAGAAUCUCUUGAGCCCAGGAGGUUGAGGCUGCAGUGAGCUUUGAUCACAUCAUUGCACUCUAGCCUGGGUGACAGAGUGAGACCCUGUCUCAAAAAAUGGUGGCGGGGGAGGGGGGAGUGAGAAUUUAUUGGAAGAAUACUGAGUUAUUUCAUUUAACUAAGCCAAGGAAAUAAAUUAUUGUAGAAACAAAUAAUAAAAUUUUAUGUUGCUGUUUAAAAAAUUGAGACAGCAGUAUACCUGCUUGUAUGGCAAGACAGUCAAGAUGUAAUGUUAAGUUAGGGAAUACUGCUUAUAUCAUGAUCCCACUGGGUUAAGAAAUGUUUAUAAAUGGAUAUACAAAUUUUGGAAGUAUAUGCAAGUAAAUAUUAACAAUGAUUUCUGUAGGGAGUAAGGUCACCAGAACGGGAGGGGUGUCAGUGGAUUUUACCUUCAUUUAUUCUCUUCUUGAGAACUAUUUGUACAUUGUGAGCUUUGACAGCCAUAGAGGUAUGCCACCCAGACCUCCCUUAAGAAAACCUGCUGUAAAAUGGUGCAGCUGCUAUGGAAAACAGCAUGGAAGUUUCUCCAAAAAUACAACUACGAUAUGAUUCAGCAAUACUACUUCUGGGUAUUUAUCAAAAAACAAACAAACAAACAAACAAAUACACACACAAAACUUGAAAUCGAGAUCUUGGAUGUCUGCCCUUCCGUGUUCAUUUGCAGCACUAUUCUUAGCCAAGGACUGGAAACAACCUAAAGUCUAUUGACCAAUGAAUGGAUUUAAAAAAUGUAGUAUAUACACACAUGGAAUAUUAUUCAGCUUUAAAAAAGGAAAUCCUGCAAUAUGCAACAACAUAAUGAACUUGAGGACAUUAUGCUAAGAGAAUAAGCCAGUCCCAGAAGGAUAAAUACUCCAUGACUCCACUUAUAUGAGGUCUCUAAAAUACUCAAACUUAUAGAAACAGAGAGUAGAAUGGUGGUUGCAGGAAAUGGGAAGUUGCUAAUCAAUGGAUAUAACAUUUCAAUUAUGCAAGGUGAAUUCUAGAGCUCUGCUAUACAAUAUUGUGCCUGUAGAUGACAAUACUGCAUUGUGCGCUUAAAAUGCCAUUGAGUAGAACUCAUGUUAGGUGUUCUUGCCACAGUAAAACAAUGUUAAUGCAUACAUAAUGAAAAUUAUUUUUUAAUUCAUGUCAAAGAAAAACAGAGAAGGAAGGAAAGAAGGAAGGAAGGAAGGCAGGCAGGCAGGCAGGCCUCUAUGAGAAACAUAGUUCCCUGGCCAGCCUCUAGCUGCUGUUUUUUUUGUGGGGGAGUGGGGAUGGAGUCUCACUCUGUUGCCCAGGUUGAAGUGCAGUGGUACAAUCUCAGCUCACUGCAACCUCUGCCUGCCAGGUUCAAGCGAUUCUCCUGCUUCAGCCUCCUGAGUAGCUGGGGUUACAAGCAUGAACCACCAUGUUUGGCUAAUUUUUUCUUUUUCUUUCUUUCUUUCUUUCUUUCUUUCUUUCUUUCUUUCUUUCUUUUUUUUUUGAGACAGAUUCUUGCUCCGUAGCCCGAGCUAGAGUGCAGUGGUGCAAUCUUGGCUCAUUACAACCUCCGUCUCCCAGGUUCAAGUGAUUCUCCUGCCUCAGCCUCCUGAGUAGCUGGGACUACAGUGGCGAGCCACCAUGCCCAGCUAGUUUUUGUAUUUUUAGUAGAGACGGGGUUUCACUGUGUUGGUCAGGCUGGUCUCGAACUCCUGACCUCAGGUGAUCUGCCUGCAUCGGCCUCCCAAAGUGCUGGGAUUACAGGCAUGAGCCACUGUGCCCGGCCACGCCUGGCUAAUUUUUUGUAUUUUUAGUAGAGAAAGGGUUUCACCAUGUUGGCUAGUCUGGUUUCAAACUCCUGACCUCAAGUGAUUUGCCUGCCUUGGGCUCUCAAAGUGCUAGGAUUACAGGUGUGAGCCAUCAUGCCCAGCCAGCUGCCAUUUUUGGAUCCACCUCAGUUCUCACACUGAGGCCACUUUCUGGUUUACUUCCACUCAAUGACUGCACACAGUAGGGGUACUAAGUGUGAGGUACAUAAUACACAGCCACUGAUUUAGUAAAUGCAUUUUUUCCCCUACUUCUAUCAGGAAAGAGACUAGAAAUAGUUCACAUCCAUGUGGGACGACAAUAUUUACUCAGUUUUGCCCCAAGAAUAAUAUUUGCUCCUUUGAUGAUAAAAUGUGAAUUAUAGGCUGUUAUAGUUUGGAUAUUUGUCCCCACCCACAUCUCAUGUUGAAUUGUAAUCCCCAGUGCUGAAUGUGGGGCCUGCCCAGAGGUGUUUGGAUCAUGGGGGUGGAUCCCUCAUAGCUUGGUACUGUCUUUUCAGUUCUCUCGAGAUCUAGUCAUUUAAAAGUGUGUAGCAUCUGCCCCCUGACCUUGUUCCUGCUUUCACCAUGUGAUGUGCCUGCUUCCCCUUUGCCUUCUGCCACGAUUGGAAGUUUCCUGAGGCCUCCCCAGAAGCAGAUGCUGCUAUGCUUCCUGUACAGCCUGUAGAACCAUGAGCCAAUUAAACCUCUUUUCUUAUAAAUUACCCAGUCUCAGCUAUUUCUGUAUAGCAAUCUAAGAGAAAAUUGGCACCGGGGUGGGGAAUUACUAUAAAGAUACCUGAAAAUGUGGAAGUCAUUUUGGAACUAUGUAACAGGCAGAGGCUGAAAGAGUUUGGAAGGCUCAGAAAAAGACAGGAAGAUGAGGGAAGGUUUAAAACUUCUUAGAGACUGGUUAAAUUGUUGUGACCAAAAUGCUGAUAGUGAUAUGGACAGCGAGAUCCAAGCUGCUGAGUCUCAGAUGGAAAUGAUGAAGAAAGUUGGAGCUUACAUUUAAAAGGGAAGCAGAAUAUAAAAGUUUGGAAAUUUUGUAGUCUGCCCAUGUGGCAAAGAAAGAAAAAGCUUUCUCAAAAGAGGGAUACAAGCAGGCUGUGGAGCAACCACUUGCUAGAGAUAUUUGCGUAAUUAAAAAGGAGUGAGGCCGGGCGCGGUGGUUCACCCCUGUAAUCCCAGCACUUUGGGAGGCCGAGGCUGGCGGAUCAUGAGGUCAGGAGAUAGCGACCAUCCUGGCUAACACGGUGAAACCCCAUCUCUACUAAAAAUACAAAAAAUUAACCAGGUUCAGUGGCGGGUGCCUGUAGUCCCAGCUACUCGGGAGUCUGGGGCAGGAGAAUGGUAUGAACCUGGGAGGCGGAGCUUGCAGUGAGCCGAGAUCGCGCCACUGCACUCCGGCCUGGGCAAAAGAGCGAGACUCCGUCUAAAAAAAAAAGGAGCCAGUGCUAAUGUGUCUGGAAUUGGUGGGUUCUUGGUCACACUGACUUCAAGAAUGAAACUGCGGACCCUUGCGGUGAGUGUUACAGCUCUUAAGGUGGUGUGUCUGGAGUUUGUUCCUUCUGAUGUUCGGAUGUGUUCGGAGUUUCUUCCUUCUGGUGGGUUCGUGGUCUCGCUGGCUCAGGAGUGAAGCUGCAGACCUUUGCGGUGAGUGUUACAGCUCUUAAGGCGGCACAUCUGGAGUUGUUCGUUCCUCCCGGCGGGCUCGUGGUCUCGCUGGCUUCAGGAGUGAAGCUGCAGGCCUUCGUGGUGAGUGUUACAGCUCAUAAAAGCAGCAUGGACCCAAAGAGUGAGCAGUAGCAAGAUUUAUUGCAAAGAGCAAAAGAACAAAGCUUCCACAGUGUGGAAGGGGACCCAAGCGGGUUGCCACUGCUGGCUGGGGCAGCCUGGUUUCAUUCUCUUAUCUGGCCCCACCCACGUCCUGCUGAUUGGUAGAGCCCAGUGGUCUGUUUUGACAGGGCGCUGAUUGGUGCGUUUACAAUCCCUGAGCUGGAUACAAAGGUUCUCCACGUCCCCAUCAGAUUAGAUACAGAGUAUCCACACAAAGGUUCUCCAAGGCCCCACCAGAGCAGAUAGAUACAGAGUGUCCAUUGGUGCACUCACAAACCCUGAGCUAGACACAGGGUGCUGAUUGGUGUGUUUACAAACCUUGAGCUAGAUACAGAGUGCCGAUUGGUGUAUUUACAAUCCCUGAGCUAGACAUAAAGGUUCUUCACGGCCCCACCAGAGCAGCUAGAUACAGAGUGUCAAUUGGUGCACUCACAAACCCUGAGCUAGACACAGGGUGCUGACUGGUGUGUUUACAAACCUUGAGCUAGAUACAGAGUGCCGAUUGGUGUAUUUAUGUCUAGCUCAGGGAUUGUAAAGGUUCUCCAAAGCCCCACCAGAUUCAGGAGCCCAGCUGGCUUCACCCGGUGAAUCCCGCACCGGGGCUGCAGGUGGAGCUGCCUGCCAGUCCCCUGCGUGCGCCCGCACUCCUCAGCCCUUGGGUGGUCGAUGGGACUGGGUGCCGUGGAGCAGGGGGUGGCCCUCGUCGAGGAGACUCGGGCUGCACAGGAGCCCAUGGAGGGGGUGGGAGG
RNAcentral lists this long non-coding RNA (6175 nucleotides) under Homo sapiens (human). RNAcentral describes it as "HSALNT0366562". The record is from RNAcentral. Lineage: Eukaryota; Metazoa; Chordata; Mammalia; Primates; Hominidae.